CGCGUAGGCGGCCCGCGAGGUCGGGGGUGAAAGCCCGCAGCUUAACUGCGGAAGGGCCUUCGAUACCGGCGGGCUGGAGGAAGGUAGGGGUGCGCGGAACUUCUGGUGGAGCGGUGAAAUGCGUUGAUAUCAGAAGGAACGCCGGCGGCGAAAGCGGCGCACUGGACCUUUUCUGACGCUGAGGCGCGAAAGCUAGGGGAGCAAACGGGAUUAGAUACCCCGGUAGUCCUAGCCCUAAACGAUGGGUACUAGGCCGUGGGCCAGUCAUGGGCUCACAGCCGAAGCAAAAGUGUUAAGUACCCCGCCUGGGGAGUAUGGUCGCAAGGCUGAA
Molecule: ribosomal RNA, 331 nt
Filed under: uncultured bacterium
Lineage: Bacteria
Description: bacterial SSU rRNA
Rfam family: Bacterial small subunit ribosomal RNA
Source: RNAcentral